RNAcentral lists this ribosomal RNA (255 nucleotides) under uncultured bacterium. Its description in RNAcentral is "partial 16S ribosomal RNA". It matches the Rfam family "Bacterial small subunit ribosomal RNA", at positions 524 to 776 of the family's 1533-position model. The record is from RNAcentral.
UACGUAGGGUGCAAGCGUUUAAUCGGAAUUACUGGGCGUAAAGCGUGCGCAGGCGGUUUUGUAAGUCUGUCGUGAAAGCCCCGGGCUCAACCUGGGAAUUGCGAUGGAGACUGCAAGGCUUGAAUCUGGCAGAGGGGGGUAGAAUUCCACGUGUAGCAGUGAAAUGCGUAGAGAUGUGGAGGAACACCGAUGGCGAAGGCAGCCCCCUGGGUCAAGAUUGACGCUCAUGCACGAAAGCGUGGGGGAGCAAACAGG